This 718-nucleotide long non-coding RNA is filed under the name Cricetulus griseus (Chinese hamster). RNAcentral's name for it is "lncRNA (ENSCGRG00015038672.1)". The record is from RNAcentral. Lineage: Eukaryota; Metazoa; Chordata; Mammalia; Rodentia; Cricetidae.
UGUGGGUGAACUUGCUGUUUUCCCUUCCUGUUGUACCUAAUGGUCUCUUUGUCCUCUUGUCCCUCUCUGGGUUUCCACCAGAGGGCAGAACCAACCCACCUAAUUCCCAGCUUGCAGCUCUCUUCUUCAGUGUUCCAGAUGAAACUUUGGAUUUCUUUCAAAUGGUUGGGAUUUCAUCACUCCGAGAAUUGUUGCUGAGGGUGCCCACAGCCAAGCUUCGAGUUAGAGCGCCGCUCUGCUAUUCAUCCUUUCUGUGCCUUGGAGAGGUCUCUGGUUUCUCCCUCUGGGCAGCAAGUUUUCAUCCUUGUAGAAUAGGCCUUUUGGGUGACUGCAUCUGUCAAGACUACAUUCUGCUCUAUGCAUGAAUCAUCAAGACAUGUUUCUUAAAUCCAAGCUGGAGGCGAGAAGCCAGGCAGAAAUCCAUGGAACUGUCAUUCUGCAGGACAGAUGUCUCGGCUUGGGUUAUAAAACUCCCCUGCUUAUGGAAAGUCAAAGAAACUUGAAGUGAUGUUUGCAUAUAUGGUCCAGUCCCAUGGAGAUACAUGGCGAAAGCUUCCCUACCUAAAGUAUGUUGUAUAUGUAUAUACAUUGCACAUGUAUUGUAUACAAAUACCCACUUGUUAAAUGUAUAUUAUACCUGCAUUCCUUUACAUGCAUCAUUUUAAUGGUAUUUUACAUGCCACUUAAAUGCACAGUUUUAAAAAUAAUAUUUGUGUUU